This 5125-nucleotide long non-coding RNA is filed under the name Coffea arabica (coffee). RNAcentral's name for it is "long non-coding RNA (CARA_LNC006511)". Lineage: Eukaryota; Viridiplantae; Streptophyta; Magnoliopsida; Gentianales; Rubiaceae. The record is from RNAcentral.
AGAUCCAAAUGAGGUGAUUCUUGAUGCAUUAGAACGAUAACUCAAAUGGCUACAACUUUCGUGUUUUAGACAUGAGCUGUUUCAGCCUCUAACAUCAAGAAAAGAUUGGUUGAAGUUGGGCCAAAAACAGAGCAAGUGAUCCACACUCGGAUCCACUAUUCAUCCGAACCCUCGGUUGUUUCUGGGUUAGUGGAUCCGAGGUACUGUAGCAGCUCGGAUCACUGGUCAGAAAAGGCUGCUCUGUACGCGUAAAACUCAAUUUCACCUCCACCAACUCACAUUGGAUGCUAGACAUGUGAGAAACAUUCCCAGCUGUAAAAGGGAGAUGUAAUCCUCAUUUCUUGACCACCUUUCAUCAUUAAAUAGCCAAAUGCAUUGCAAAAAUAGGAAUGGGGAGUUCAUAGCAGAAAAUAGAGAGUGAGCUACGGGAGAGCUUGAAACUGCAGAAAUGUAACUCUUUCAUCUCCCUAGUGUUAGUUUAGCUUAGUAUAGAGUAGUGUAGCUUUUCCAUUCUUGUUUAUUAUCUAGAUUAGGAUGAAGAUGGAGGAUGAAGAAGACAAGGAAGAAAGCUCAUGUGACAAGGGUUGUAUUCCUUCUAAAUUCUUUAUCUUUUGUAUUUGAUUCCAAAUUUAGUUAAUAUACAAGUUCUGGAUUUUGUGUUCAAUAUGUGUUUCUAAAGUUUAAGCCUUGGGUUUGGUUGAACUUUCUAUAAUUGUUAGUGUUUAUUAUUUGGUUAUUUGACUGCUAUGAUUUGAGCAAGUUAUUUAGCACUUUGGCUCUUUAAAUCAUGAUUAAUCUGGUACCAUUGAUUGUGAUUAUCUAAGGUGUUGUUUCUGCAAUGAAAAUUGAGAUUUAACACUAGUUCAAGAAGUGCUAAACAUAGGGAGUACACUCACGAAAGUAGAGGUGCACUUAUGUGGUUUUUAGUGAUUCAUUUCAUGUAAUUUCAUUGAAGAAAUGAACUUGUAGCUAAUUUCAUAACUAUGAAAAUAGGUAUGGAUUAGUUAUGAGUAUAAUUGAUUCACUACGAAAGUAGGAUUCAAAUGCAUAAGGAAAUUACACCAUAAUUAGCCUAGAUGUAGUAUUCAAUGAUCCAAAUAUAGCACUUGCAUGAGUAGUUAGGGAUACCACAACCCAAGGAGCUUUCAUUUGUUAUUUUGUAUAAUUUGAGUAGGUAAAAUUUGUUAUAAUUCAUUGAUAGUCUAAAUAAUAGAGAAGCUUUAGUAGUACCGGUAAUUGCAAUCUUCCUUGUGGGAUCGACCCUUAAUAUCCUAUACUCGCUCACGAUUCGUAUACUUGCGAUAAAUCGCGUGUGGGGUGUUUAGGAGUUUAUAAAUGUAAAACUUGAUUAGGAUGAGCUUAAUUGUAUAUGUAUGGUUAUCAAGUGCAAAGCUCCUUCAAUAGAGGUAACCAAGAAUUUACUGAAUGUAUGUCUUUUGAAGAUGGUUUAAGGUGCUUAAAGGCAAAAUUUGAUGUAAUUAAGUUACAAGUUCAAAUGGACACCAUGAUGCAUGAAAUUGAGCAGAGGAGGAAUGUUAAUGUUUUUAAUUCUUAUCAUGUGAUUUGUGACUUGUGUAGAGGUUAUCAUGCUACUAAUACAUGUAUGCAAGCACAAAAUGUGGAUUAUUAUGAUGAAUUAGAGCAUUACAAUCCUUGUUUUGAUCAAUAUAGUGCUAAUUGGAGCAAUUCUCCUGCUUAUGGUUGGAAUAUUCAAUGUACUUAUAGUGAUAAUUCAUAUUUUUAUGAUCACCAACCUGAAAGUGUCCAAUAUGAAUCAAAACCAUCUUGGGAGUUGGCAAUAGAGAAGUUAGCUAAUGCACCUCUACCUUGGGAGUUAGAAAAUGAACCAUUAGCUAAUGAUUCUAAUGCAUCUUGGGAGCUAGCUGUAGAAAAUUUUUCUAAUCAAUUUGAUUUAGCCAUAGAAAAGCUAGCAAAUGCAACCUCCGACCGUUUUGAUAGGAUUGAGGAAAGGUUAGAUGAAUUAGCUUCUCACUUUGGUAAUAUACAUGAGCAAUUGAAUGUAUUGUGAAGUUAUUUCUUCUAAUAAUUUGCAAAAUGAUCCUAGCAUGAAUGGUGAGAAUGUUGUAUGUGAAAAUGGAUUGCAUUUUGAUGAAAAUGAUGAAUCUCAAUUGUGUUUCAAUGAGCAAAUGUCCAUUUCACAUGAUAAUAUCUUUGGAACUAACUUUGAGCCUCAAGAGGUGAGUUUUAAUGACUCAUUUUUCACCCCUCUUGAGGAGUGCAGUGAAAGUAUAGGUUCUAAAGGUAUUCCUGCUCAAGAUACUCUCAUGACAUUUCCUUUGGUAAAUUCUCAAGUGGUGCAUAUUCAAGGUAAUAUCUAUGAAAUACUUGGAAUAUGUAAGUCACUUCCAUCUCUCACAUCAUUAGAUCAUGUGGCUUUUUCUAUUAAGUCACCUUACAAUGAUCCACCAAGGCCUAAAAUGGUGGAUUAUUCGUUAACUAAGCCUCCUUGAAAAAUGAGGUGAUAUAGUCAAGCUAUUGAUUUUAAAGAAGCGCUUAUUGGGAGGCAACCCAAUGCUUGUUUAAGUUGGUGUUACUUUGGAGUGAUUUUAUGUUUAAAGUAUAAGUUUGAGUUAUUUUGUUAUUUUUCAUUUGUAGGUUUUGGAAAAAGAUGCAAAAGUGACCAAAUGAGGUGAAAAAGGCGAAGUUUGAUCAAAGAUCUCAAUACCUCAAAUUCAGUAAUUGUGAAUUUUGAUGCAUUAAAGAGGUUUAGAAUGCAUGUUUAGAUCAUUUUACAUGUGCGUGAAUGAUUUAUUUUGACAUAGAAAUGAUCUAGGGUGUAUUUUGAAUAAUUGAGGUCAAACUGAAAAUUGCAAAAAUUCUGCAAUAAGUGCAGAUUCAAUGGAUCCAAGGCCUCGGAUCCAUAUGGAUCCAAGGCCUCGGAUCCACUUCUGCAAUCAGAGAAAAACUUCGAGCUUCUUGAUCCGAGCUCGGAUCCAUAUGGAUCCGAGGCCUCGGAUCCACUUCUGCAAUCAGAAAAAAUUUGAGCUUCUUGAUCCGAGCUCACUUAUCAUGAUCCGACAUCGGAUCCUUUCAAAAACGACCUCGGAUCCUUUCCAAACGAAGCCUCGGACCACUUUUCUUCAUUCUUCCCUCUUUUUCCUCCUUCAACUCCACUUUUCUUCUUGUUGGUUGCAAGCUUUUAUUCUUAAGAAUUGUAUUUUUGUUUUUUUUUCAAGGUGCAUUAAUUGAAGUCUCCAUUCUUUCAAGUAAAGUUGGAAAUUCAUCACUUGGACAUGGAUUCGGAUUGCGCAAGUCAUAAGGGGAGUAUUUUCUUUUACUCUUUCUUUAUUUUCCUUUUCUCACAUUGAGGACAAUGUGAAGUUUAAGUGUGGGGGAGGAAAUAUGUGAACUUACAUUCUAAUGCUAUGUGAUGAUAUUUUGUGGAUUUAAAUGCUUAGAAAUAUUGGAAUUGUGUUUGAAUUAUUUGCCAUGUGGAUAAUUUGCCUGAAAUUGGGUUUGUUGGCAGGGAGUUUUCUUCCAUUUAUAUGGGGAAACUCCGUCAAAAUUUGUCUAACAUCUUGUCCAAUAUGUCACUAUGGCCCAAAAGUUCUUCAAAUUUUUGCAUUUUCAUUCAAAAAGGGCUAAUUUGUUCCAACUUUAAAUGUUUUUAUUCUUCCAAUUGUUGAAACUUUAUGUGUAUUUUGGAAGGUUUAGUCCUCAUUUAACUUGGAAAUAGUUAUUAUGCAAUUAGAAUUUUUACAUUUUAGAAAGUAUAUUUGGUAAAGUGAGGAAAAUUAUGCCUAUAAUUUUACAUGUUUAAUGAGAUUUCUUCUCUUUACUUAAUUUUGCAAGUAAGUGAUUGACAUAGUUGAUAAAAGGUUAUACUCCUCCUUUGAUUAGUCUUAUAUAUUUUCUAAGAGGGAAUAUCUAUUUAUUGUCCUUUAGUUUAAAAAAAAAAAGAAAAGAAAAGAAAGAAAAAAUUAUUCUACUCCAAUGAUUUUUGUACCGAGUAACCGGGGGUUGGCAUCUACAAAUGUCGAUUUUCGCGUAAAAAGGUACUUGAAUUAAGAAUAUGCAUUGCAACUUGAAUAAGUGAAAUGUUGAGUAACCGGGAAUCUUCACCUAAAAGUGUCGAUUUUCGCGUAAAAAGGCAUUCUCACUAAUUAAGUAAAAUUAGUAUGAAUAAAUCCCUCUUAGAUGUAAAAUUUUGAGAAAAGGAUGAUUAUAGGAGGAGGAAGGCUAUAAAUCGACUAUGUGGGUUGCUUAUUUGUGAAAUUAGGUUAGGGUAAGAGAUUAAGUUUAACUUGUUGAAUUUAGGGUAUAAUUAUCUUUUCUUUACUUGAUAUUAUGAGUAUUUAGUGUAAAUUGAAUAAUUAUAUAAUAAUUAUUUUCCAAGUCUUGAGGAAUUAAAUUGGACAAAGUGCAUAUAUUGUUUCACCUCUUGAAUCAUUGCAUUUGAUUAUGUGUGAAUUGCUUGAGGACAAGCAAUGAUUUAAGUGUGGGGGAGUUUGAUAAGUGACUAAUUUACGUAAUAAUUGUAUGACAUUUUAUAUUAUUUUUAGUCACUUUGGUUAUAUUAUUGGAAGAAUAUGAAUCAUUUUGGCUAUAAUUGGUGAAAAAUGCUUUUAAGUGAUUAAAUGAGGUUUUUAUCACUUUUUACUUGGAUUUUGUGUAUUUUGACAGUUUUGACACAUUUUCGUAUUUCGGCUAUAACUUGAGUUACAAUGAUCGGAUUGGGAUGAUUCUUGAACCCAUUUGAAGAUAAGAGAUAGAUCUACAACUUUGGUGAAGACAUCUAAAUCCAGUUUGAAGGUUUUCCAGGUCAAAAUGCCGAAUUACAAUAGCAAAUUUCUACUGGUUGAAACUGGAACAGGGCAAUGAGCAGGCAAGGGUAUUUCAAUCAUAUCUCAGCCUACACAGAUCCAAAUGAGGUGAUUCUUGAUGCAUUAGAACGAUAACUCAAACGGCUACAACUUUCGUGUUUUAGACAUGAGCUGGUUCAGCCUCUAACAUCAAGAAAAGAUUGGUUGAAAUUGGGCCAAAAACAGAGCAAGUGAUCCACACUCGGAUCCACUAUUCAUCCGAACCCUCGGUUGUUUCUGGGUUAGUGGAUCCGAGCUCGGAUCCGUAUGGAUCCGAGGUACUGUAGCAGCUCGGAUCACUG